CUCGCAAUUUAUAUAUGUUCAAUGUUCUAUGUUUCUUGUUUUGUCUCUUGCUGUUUUGUUUGGUGCCAUGAUUUGUAUUUGAUCUGCGCAGAAUUUGUAUUUGUAAUUCGGACUUCUGGGGAUGACCCUGAAGUCCUGCCCUGGAUGAAAGUCCUAGGGUUGCUUGAUUUGAUCUGCGCAGAAUUUGUAAUUUGUAUUUGAUCUGCGCAGAAUUUGUAAUUGAACCAUAGGGUAAGCAGACUUGCGAGAACCUUGGUUCCACCCUGGAUGAAAGUCCAAGGUUUGGUUGUAAUUUUGGUUUGGGGCACCAUUUCUUUGCCGCGGUUUGUCCUGUCUAAUGUUUGUGCUGUCUAAUGUGCUGUCAUUUGUGUUAUGUGUUUCUUAAGCAUCUCUUUCUGUCCCACAUUGCCCAUGCACGUGGCAUGCAUGGGUCAGGGGUCUUUUCUUGUUGCCCUAAGCACAUGGCACGGGAAAGGAGUUCUGCCAUGUGUCACGGGUUAGAAUGUGUUAUGUUGGAGUCCCCCGAUGCUGCUUUUCUGAACUCGAACCACUGCUGCAGCCCUUACAGCUGAGCCUGGCCCAUGUAGUUUAUAAUGUCAGACAGACCGCCAGAUCCGGACAGUGACCCAAAGUCUCCAAAGAAGAUUACGAGGCACCUCAGUUCCUGCACCUGGACCAGUGAGAGAGAUGCUCAGAUGUGAUACCUGCCGCCUGCCAGAACCUGGCCGAGACUGUGGACAAAGCUGCUGGACACUGGAAAAUUGAUUGCACCCCUUUGCCUAGACAAAACAAGGUCAGUCUUUUCCAUGUCCCUCUUCCACAGAGAGAAAAAAACUCUCACAGUAUAGGCCUGGCGAAGAUUGUUGUUCUUUGAGACAGCUGCCUCCAGCGGUAAUGGAGAAACUUGGGUUUGGCUAACUGUAUAUAGACUGGCUUCUGUCACUUUUUAGUAGAUUCGGACAAAAUAUACCCUUCUCAGAUCUCUGAAAUAUUACUGGUUGUCAGCUUGACAGCAUCAGUCAGUCAGAUCCACUAUAGACUAGUCAGUAUGUUAG
RNAcentral lists this long non-coding RNA (1055 nucleotides) under Cricetulus griseus (Chinese hamster). RNAcentral's name for it is "lncRNA (ENSCGRG00015035607.1)". The record is from RNAcentral. Lineage: Eukaryota; Metazoa; Chordata; Mammalia; Rodentia; Cricetidae.